CCUACGGGAUGCUGCAGUGGGGAAUUUUGGACAAUGGGCGCAAGCCUGAUCCAGCAAUGCCGCGUGCAGGAAGAAGGCCUUCGGGUUGUAAAUCUUGAGAACUGGGUACGCGGUACCUGAAGAAUAAGCACCGGCUAACUACGUGCCAGCAGCCGCGGUAAUACGUAGGGUGCGAGCGUUAAUCGGAAUUACUGGGCGUAAAGCGUGCGCAGGCGGCUUUGCAAGACAGAGGUGAAAUCCCCGGGCUCAACCUGGGAACUGCCUUUGUGACUGCAAGGCUAGAGUACGGCAGAGGGGGAUGGAAUUCCGCGUGUAGCAGUGAAAUGCGUAGAUAUGCGGAGGAACACCGAUGGCGAAGGCAAUCCCCUGGGCCUGACUGACGCUCAUGCACGAAAGCGUGGGGAGCAAACAGGAUUAGAUACCCGUGUAGUC
Molecule: ribosomal RNA, 432 nt
Filed under: uncultured bacterium
Lineage: Bacteria
Description: partial 16S ribosomal RNA
Rfam family: Bacterial small subunit ribosomal RNA
Source: RNAcentral